AUGGGUAGAGCUAAUGCUAAUCCUAUUUGGAGCAAGAUAUGGAAGCUAUCUUGUCCGGCAAAGGUAAAAAAAUUCAUCUGGCGUACAUUGCAUGGUACCCUCCCGUGCCGAGUUACGCUUGCCAAUAGACACAUGAAAGUCUCGCCCAUAUGCCCAUCAUGUUCUAAUGGGCCAGAAGACACAAAACACGUCUUGUUUCUGUAAGGGAAGGCGAAACAGGUCUGGGCUAAGUUAGGUUUGCAUCAAGUGAUCAAUACAGCUUGUGCUGUCGACCGGGCAGGAGAGGCAGUUCUUGAAUUUUUACUACUUAUGUGAGAUCAAGAAAUAUUUGAAUUGGGCAUCCAGAACGCACGUGAAUUGAUCGCAAUAACAACUUGGUAUUUAUGGUGGGAUAGA
This 396-nucleotide ribosomal RNA is filed under the name Triticum aestivum (bread wheat). Its description in RNAcentral is "partial small subunit ribosomal RNA". Lineage: Eukaryota; Viridiplantae; Streptophyta; Magnoliopsida; Poales; Poaceae. The record is from RNAcentral.